This is an RNA transcript of Larimichthys crocea (large yellow croaker), 371 nucleotides long. RefSeq lists it as uncharacterized. The record is from RefSeq and is a predicted model, not a curated record. The transcript has 3 exons. NCBI's taxonomy places the organism in Eukaryota, Metazoa, Chordata, Actinopteri, Sciaenidae.
CAACCUGCUGGCCGUCGUUGGAGGAGGAGUCAACCCCAAGUUCUCAGAAAUCUCUGUGCUGAUCUGGGACGACGCUCGGGAGUCGCGAGACCCAAAACACAAGCUGGUUCUGGAGUUCACCUUCACCAAACUGGUUCUGGCUGUCCGCAUGAGGCACGACAAGUGAGUUCACCUGCUCCCCUGCUCGGCUGCGUCCAACACGUCGCUUGGUUUCAGCGGGAUGAAGAUCUUGUUUGUGUUCAGGAUCAUCAUCUGUUUGAGUUUGACACCAGAGAUAACCCUAAAGGUUUGUGUGAUUUGUGUCCCAGUCUGGAGAAACAGCUGCUAGUCUUCCCGGGUCACAAGUGCGGCAGCCUGCAGCUGGUCAUAAG